This 279-nucleotide ribosomal RNA is filed under the name uncultured bacterium. RNAcentral describes it as "partial 16S ribosomal RNA". It matches the Rfam family "Bacterial small subunit ribosomal RNA", at positions 506 to 784 of the family's 1533-position model. The record is from RNAcentral.
UGCCAGCCGCCGCGGUAAUACGGAGGGUGCGAGCGUUAAUCGGAAUUACUGGGCGUAAAGCGCAUGCAGGCGGUUGAUUAAGCGAGAUGUGAAAGCCCCGGGCUUAACCUGGGAACUGCAUUUCGAACUGGUCAACUAGAGUCUUGUAGAGGGGGGUAGAAUUUCAGGUGUAGCGGUGAAAUGCGUAGAUAUCGGAAGGAACACCAGUGGCGAAGGCGACUUCCUGGGCCAAUACUGACGCUGAGGUGCGAAAGCGUGGGGAGCAAACAGGAUUAGAUA